CCCAACUAUCCCUAUUAAUCAUUACGUCAAUCUUAGAAACCAACAAAAUAAGACCGAACGUCCUAUUUCAUUAUUCCAUGCUAAUGUAUUCAAGCGUUAGCCUGCUUUAAACACUCUAAUUUUUUCAAAGUAACAGUCCAGUCUCCCCGCAACACCAAAUUAAUGGCAUUACGGUUCAUCAGGAAGGAGGAAUCAGUGAGGCCAGUUCAUACCUGUGGCACGACCAACCUACUGACCCCGAAAUUCAACUACGAGCUUUUUAACUGCAACAACUUUAAUAUACGCUAUUGGAGCUGGAAUUACCGCGGCUGCUGGCACCAGACUUGCCCUCCAA
RNAcentral lists this unclassified non-coding RNA (334 nucleotides) under uncultured Glomeraceae. RNAcentral's name for it is "sequence contains 18S rRNA gene". The record is from RNAcentral. Lineage: Eukaryota; Fungi; Glomeromycota; Glomeromycetes; Glomerales; Glomeraceae.